UACGAAGGGGGCUAGCGUUGUUCGGAAUGACUGGGCGUAAAGGGCGCGUAGGCGGUUUGGUCAGUCAGCUGUGAAAUUCCUGGGCUCAACCUGGGGGCUGCAUUUGAUACGUUCGGACUAGAGUGGGGAAGAGGGUCGUGGAAUUCCCAGUGUAGAGGUGAAAUUCGUAGAUAUUAGGAAGAACACCGGUGGCGAAGGCGGCGACCUGGUCCUUGACUGACGCUGAGGCGCGAAAGCGUGGGGAGCAAACAGG
RNAcentral lists this ribosomal RNA (253 nucleotides) under uncultured bacterium. RNAcentral describes it as "partial 16S ribosomal RNA". It matches the Rfam family "Bacterial small subunit ribosomal RNA", at positions 524 to 776 of the family's 1533-position model. The record is from RNAcentral.